This 385-nucleotide ribosomal RNA is filed under the name uncultured Katablepharidophyta. RNAcentral's name for it is "partial small subunit ribosomal RNA". It matches the Rfam family "Eukaryotic small subunit ribosomal RNA", at positions 30 to 432 of the family's 1831-position model. Lineage: Eukaryota; Cryptophyceae; Kathablepharidacea. The record is from RNAcentral.
GCUUGUCUCAAAGAUUAAGCCAUGCAUGUCUAAGUAUAAACUAUUUUAUACUGUGAAACUGCGAAUGGCUCAUUAAAUCAGUUAUCGUUUAUUUGAUGAUCUCUUACUACUUGGAUAACCGUAGUAAUUCUAGAGCUAAUACAUGCACAAAAUCCCGACUUACGAAGGGAUGUAUUUAUUAGAUACAAACCAACAUCGUGGUGAUUCAUAAUAACUCCUCGAAUCGCAUGGCCUUGCGCCGGCGAUGUUUCAUUCAAAUUUCUGCCCUAUCAAUUUGAUGGUAGGAUAGAGGCCUACCAUGGUGGUAACGGGUGACGGAGAAUUAGGGUUCGAUUCCGGAGAGGGAGCCUGAGAAACGGCUACCACAUCCAAGGAAGGCAGCAGG